GCUUGCUUCCUUUCANACUUAGCGGNGGACGGGUGAGUAACACGUAGGCANCCUGCCCUCAAGACUGGGAUAACUACCGGAAACGGUAGCUAAUACCGGAUAAUUUCUUUCCUCUCCUGAGGAGAGAAUGAAAGGCGGAGCAAUCUGCUGCUUGGGGAUGGGCCUGCGGNNCAUUAGCUAGUUGGUGGGGUAACGGCCCACCAAGGCGACGAUGCGUAGCCGACCUGAGAGGGUGAACGGCCACACUGNNACUGAGCCACGNNANNNNCUANUACGGGAGGCAGCAGUAGGGAAUCUUCCGCAAUGGGCGCAAGCCUGACGGAGCAANGCCGCGUGAGUGAUGAAGGUUUUCGGAUCGUAAAGCUCUGUUGCCAGGGAAGAACGUCCGGUAGAGUAACUGCUGCCGGAGUGACGGUACCUGAGAAGAAAGCCCCGGCUAACUACGUGCCAGCAGCCGCGGUAAUACGUAGGGGGCAAGCGUUGUCCGGAAUUAUUGGGCGUAAAGCGCGCGCAGGCGGUUAUUUAAGUCUGGUGUUUAAACCUUGGGCUCAACCUGAGGUCGCACUGGAAACUGGGUGACUUGAGUACAGAAGAGGAAAGUGGAAUUCCACGUGUAGCGGUGAAAUGCGUAGAUAUGUGGAGGAACACCAGUGGCGANGCGACUUUCUGGCUGUANUGACGCUGAGGCNCNAAGCGUGGGAGCAACAGGAUNAGAUACCUGGUAG
Molecule: ribosomal RNA, 725 nt
Filed under: Paenibacillus sp.
Lineage: Bacteria; Bacillati; Bacillota; Bacilli; Caryophanales; Paenibacillaceae
Description: partial 16S ribosomal RNA
Rfam family: Bacterial small subunit ribosomal RNA
Source: RNAcentral